Molecule: ribosomal RNA, 245 nt
Filed under: uncultured bacterium
Lineage: Bacteria
Description: partial 16S ribosomal RNA
Rfam family: Bacterial small subunit ribosomal RNA
Source: RNAcentral
UACGGAGGGUGCAAGCGUUAUUCGGAAUUACUGGGCGUAAAGCGCGUGCAGGCGGGUCUGCAAGUCUGAUGUGAAAGCCCUGGGCUUAACCUGGGAAGUGCAUUGGAAACUGUGGAUCUUGAGUGCUGGAGAGGAAGGGGGAAUUCCCGGUGUAGAGGUGAAAUUCGUAGAGAUCGGGAGGAAUACCAGUGGCGAAGGCGCCCUUCUGGACGGCAACUGACGCUGAGACGCGAAAGCGUGGGGAG